UGCGCAGGCGGAACUUUAAGUCAGUGGUGAAAUCUUGCCGCUUACGGUAAAAUUGCCAUUGAUACUGAAGUUCUUGAAUAUGGUUGAGGUAGGCGGAAUGUGUUGUGUAGCGGUGAAAUGCAUAGAUAUGACACAGAACUCCGAUUGCGAAGGCAGCUUACUAAACCAUUAUUGACGCUGAGGCACGAAAGCGUGGGGAGCGAACAGGAUUAGAUACCCUGGUAGUCC
RNAcentral lists this ribosomal RNA (228 nucleotides) under uncultured bacterium. RNAcentral describes it as "partial 16S ribosomal RNA". It matches the Rfam family "Bacterial small subunit ribosomal RNA", at positions 568 to 796 of the family's 1533-position model. The record is from RNAcentral.